GCCGGAGUGGUGAAACUGGUAGACGCAGGGGACUCAAAAUCCCCCGGUGGUAACACUGUGUCGGUUCAAGUCCGACCUCCGGCA
Molecule: transfer RNA, 84 nt
Filed under: candidate division Zixibacteria bacterium HGW-Zixibacteria-1
Lineage: Bacteria; Pseudomonadati; Candidatus Zixiibacteriota
Description: tRNA-Leu
Rfam family: tRNA
About the family: Transfer RNA (tRNA) molecules are approximately 80 nucleotides in length. Their secondary structure includes four short double-helical elements and three loops (D, anti-codon, and T loops). Further hydrogen bonds mediate the characteristic L-shaped molecular structure. tRNAs have two regions of fundamental functional importance: the anti-codon, which is responsible for specific mRNA codon recognition, and the 3' end, to which the tRNAs corresponding amino acid is attached (by aminoacyl-tRNA synthetases). tRNAs cope with the degeneracy of the genetic code in two manners: having more than one tRNA (with a specific anti-codon) for a particular amino acid; and 'wobble' base-pairing, i.e. permitting non-standard base-pairing at the 3rd anti-codon position.
Source: RNAcentral